CUCUUUACCAAAAUGUGACAACUUGACUUGACAGAGGAUGCUCUUUUACAUGAUUGAAGUAAUUUGCAAACCUAGAAUCAGUGAUUUUUAGCAUUACAUUUUUGUCAAUCAACAAAGCAUCCCCAUAAUAUUUCGGUGCAAAUACACUCUUGUGACAGUGCUGCAGCUGUGCAAGUAACUACCUGCAUACAACAGUUUAUAUGAAAUUGAAAAAAUACUUUGAAAAUCAGCAAGUGUAAUGACCAACAACAAAUGAAAAUUAAUCUCGAAUGAUACGUGUCUUUUUCAUUACAGGGUUGUUAUGCAUCAAAUUCUCAAUAGAGAAUGGGGCAUUCUCACUAUACCCCUCUUCCAUCUCUCAUCCAAAUAAGAAAAUAUUGCUCCCUCUAUGCUCAUCAGUCAAUGUGAAGUCUUAAAGAAGACAUAUCACAUCUUCAAGCAGCGAAAACCAAGGGAAAAAAAAUAAAGAAUCCCCAAAAAUAGAGCAAAUGCCAGCUAAUAGUGAAUAUACUAAAGAGUGCUAUCUUUCAGUCGUGAAAAAUUCCAAGCAAAGUGGGUUGCUUCCUGCAGAUGGCAAGCAUAAAGUAGGAGAAAAAGGAGAUAAUUAGGAAACUAUUGUUAAACUAUAUCAUUUUCAAAUUCAGAGGAAUUGAACUGAACAGUUGAAAAUAUAAAUUCAGCUAUGGCUAAUUGGCAAAAAAUUCUUACGAAGCAAUAGAGAUCCAAGCAUACAAUAUUUAGCACAAAAAUAUCUCUUUUUUCUCUUUCAGUUCUCCUUUUUUCCUAUUCUGCUUACUCUCUUUUCUCCUCCUCUCUUGUAGCCACCACUUUCUCCAUCAGCCACGUUCCCAAAAACAUUUUAUCUACACAUGUAUUCUAGUCAUUUUCUUCAUUUUCCUUCAGUAAUUUUCCCCCUCAACUUAGAUUGUUUUUCAAGAAAAACAAUUAUCUUAAAAAUUAGCUUAUGAAAGUCAUGUUUGAAACUUUUCACUCUAUAGGAGGUAAGAUACCUCUUCAUAAGUGCAUCGUGCAUGGAUCAUAUACCAUGAAAAAAAUGUCAAGGGUAAAAUGCUAAGGAAAACUUUAUUGCAAAAGAUAUAUAUAUAUAUAUUCUCGUUGAAAACAUAGGUAAGUUCAUAGCAGUGUAGAAUCGUGGUGCAGACUUGUGAAAUGAUGUCUUGGUACUGAUAUUUAGUAUUAGUUUUGUACUCAUCAAAUAAAAAGAUCUAAACUAAAACAAAUAUCUUUUUUGAAAUAAAAGUAAAAGAGUUAGUGACAUCUAUUAUUGAUCUCACCAAAUUUACCAAAGUGAAACAUCAAAAAGAUAGAGGGGGAACAAAUGAGAGUUCAACCAUUCAUAUAUAUCUUCUUAUAUGGUCUAUGAAUAAUUGAAGCCAAGCUUCCAGUAAUAUCAUCAUAAUCAUAAAGUUACAACAAUUUGGAAAAUUACUUGGCAACCUUAUCAAUUGAAAAUCUACAUGAAAUGACCAUAGACCAAACUAUAAGCAUGUGCAAAUUGUGAUAAAACUCUAUUGUAUAUUUAGAAAAUUAGAAGAUCUUUGUUCUUUUAUUCGAUGAGUCAAUCUAUCCAUUCUCAUUAGGGGAAUUCCUUUAUCUUAUCAAGAGUCCUAGGGAAAUAAAAAAUAACUUCGAGGUAUUUUUUUCGUUUCUUUAAACUUCUUACAAUUUUAUCAUCCUACACCUCAGGACUCACAUAGCUUUAAAGUUAUUUUCUAUUCAAGCAAUCCAAUUUCCACCAAGGACGAUAAAUUUUAAGUUGUCAUAAUACUAAACAAAGAAUAGCUAAGGAUAUGACUACUUUAAAGGUUAUUAUGGAUAUUGUGGGAAGAACACACAUGAAAAGCAAGCUUUGUAAACAUAAAUUUGGCUAACCAAGUUGGGUCGGUGAUCCUAGUUUUAGCAUCUUGCCUGAACUUGCAUAUUUUGUCACUGCUACUUCCCUUUCUUGUCAAUCAUAGUUGAAGAGGUCAUAUUCCUUUUGUUUCUUUUAGUGGCACUUGUAAUCCAUUGAUUGAAGAUAGAAAAGUAACUGCAGUUUCGGUGACCUCAAGGUUAUGAGCCUUGCGAGCUAUCAGAUUGUUGUACCACAAGCCAAAGAUAAGAACUGAAAACUAAUAGAUAAAAAGAAUUAAAUGUUCCCCUCCACCCUAUCAGUACAAAUAGAAUAAAAGUGAAACAUCAAAAAGAUAGAGGGGAACAAAUGAGAGUUCAACCAUUCAUAUAUAUCUUCUUAUAUGGCCUAUGAAUAGUUCAAGCCAAGCUUCCAGUAAUAUCAUCAUAAUCAUAAAGUUGCAACAAAUUGGGAAAUUACUUGGCAACCUUAUCAAUUGAAAUCUACAUGAAAUGACCAUAGACCAAACUAUAAGCAUGUGCAAAUUGUGAUAAAACUCUAUUGUAUAUUUAGAAAAUUAGAAGAUCUUUGUUCUUUUAUUCGAUGAGUCAAUCUAUCCAUUCUCAUUAGGGGAAUUCCUUUAUCUUAUCAAGAGUCCUAGGGAAAUAAAAAAUAACUUCGAGGUAUUUUUUUCGAUUCUUUAAACCUCUUCAAAUUUUAUCAUCCUACAUCUCAGGACUCAGAUAGCUUUGAAGUUAUUUUCUAUUCAAGCAAUCCAAUUUUCACAAAGGACGAUAAAUUUUAAGUUGUCAUAAUAUUAAACAAAGAAUAGCUAAGGAUAUGACUACAUUAAAGGUCAUUAUGGAUAUUGUGGGAAGAACACACAUGAAAAGCAAGCUUUGUAAACAUAAAUUUGGCUAACCAAGUUGUGUCGGUGAUCCUAGUUUCAGCAUCUUGCCUGAAUAUUUUGUCACUGCUACUUCCCUUUCUUGCAAAUCGUAGUUGAAGAGGUCAUAUUCCUUUUGUUUCUUUUAGUGGCACUUGUAAUCCAUUGAAUUAGGAUGUUACAGAAUUUGAUAAUAUAUUUACUAAGAUCAAUGGAUCAUUCUUCUAACAAUUUGAACAUAACUUUCAUCAAACAUGUUAUGUACAAAGGAAUAUGACUACAAAAUGAGGAUAGAAAAGUAACUGCAGUUUCCGUGAGCUCAAGGUUAUGAGCCUUGCGAGCUAUCAGAUUGAUGUACCACAAGCCAAAGAUAAGAACUGAAAACUAAUAUAUAAAAAGAAUUAAAUGUUCCCCUCCACCUUAUCAGUACAAAUAGAAUAAAAGUGAAACAUCAAAAAGAUAAAGGGGAACAAAUAAGAGUUCAACCAUUCAUAUAUAUCUUCUUAUAUGGCCUAUGAAUAGUUCAAGCCAAGCUUCCAGUAAUAUCAUCAUAAUCAUAAAGUUGCAACAAAUUGGAAAAUUACUUGGCAACCUUGAAAUGACUAUAGACCAAACUAUAAGCAUGUGCAAAUUGUGAUAAAACUCUAUUGUAUAUUUAGAAAAUUAGAAGAUCUUUGUUCUUUUAUUCGAUGAGUCAAUCUAUCCAUUCUCAUUAGGGGAAUUCCUUUAUCUUAUCAAGAGUCCUAAGGAAAUAAAAAAUAAC
Molecule: long non-coding RNA, 3501 nt
Filed under: Solanum tuberosum (potato)
Lineage: Eukaryota; Viridiplantae; Streptophyta; Magnoliopsida; Solanales; Solanaceae
Description: long non-coding RNA (STUB_LNC010468)
Source: RNAcentral